Molecule: long non-coding RNA, 10164 nt
Organism: Alligator mississippiensis (American alligator)
Lineage: Eukaryota; Metazoa; Chordata; Crocodylia; Alligatoridae
Exons: 2
Source: RefSeq, a predicted model, not a curated record
UACCAGGUAAUGAUGUAAAUAUAACGCUAUCAUUAUAAUGAAUCCCUGGAUGAGAGCAGGGAGUGCUGGAGGUAUUCUCAGCUAAUUCCACAACCUACACACAAGCAAGAAAACAGAACCAGAGAGAAAAAUUCAAACAUAGAAAUGUGUGAUGUUGAGAAAGCUAUUUCAGACUAAAUUCCUGGGAAUUAAUUCAUGUUCACUAGAUCUGGGCAGCCAAUACAGAGCCAGGAAAGGGAAAUAAAAGGGGGGAGGAAACUGCCCAAGGUUGCCUUCGGGCACGCACUCGCAAAGAGGAAUCAGAAGGGCCAACACUCCUAGACAAAGUUGGGAGUUUUGAGGGGAAGGGAGACGUUCUUUCCCAGAUCGUGUCCUACCUGGAGAAAGCCUCGGUGAUCAAAGUCAUGGCAGGCGAGAACUAGAGGAAUGGGCGGUACCCCACAGACCCGGUGACAAACUACUGCAUUGGCUGGGAACAUUGCAGGCUCCAGGAUGGAAGCGAUGGACACACAGGCUCCCCUCAAUUGGCAGCAAGCCCUCAACCUGACGUUAAGACUCCUCCAAGGCCAGCAGGCACAGCUUGAGGAAAUGGUAAGGAUGCAGACCCAAGAGGCCAAGGCAAGAAUCUGACUGUUUGCACGCCAACAAGACCUGUGAGAGAAGAUCAAGGCGCAACAGAUGCUAAUGGUAUGAGAAGGUGGGGGCUCGGGGCCGCCUCAGAUGUCAGCUGAGGAUGAUGUACAAGCCUAUUUGGAGUAAUUUGAGAGAGCGGCAAUGGCCACUAAAUGGGAUCCAAGAAGUUGGGUGGCAAGGUUGGGGCCCCUCCUCAUUGGGUUGGCACAAGCCGCCUGGGACUAUAACAAGGUUAAAGAAAUGGUUUUAUACAGUCUGGAGGUCUCACCAGAAAUGUACUGACACAAAUUCAGGGCACGGAAAGGCCCCGAAGUAGGACAGCCUCAAUUACUGCCCCAGACCCUCCAAGACUUGGCCGAACACUGGUUACAGCCAGAGGCACACACUACCCAGGAGACAGUGGACAUGAUAGCUCUGGAACAGUUCUUGACAGACCUCACAGGCAGCUCCCAGAGAUGGAUAUGGUGCCACCAGCCAAAAACUAUGGAGGAGGCGCUAUGCCUCGCUGAAGGUUAUGUGUCAGCAGAAGGGGAAAGGGAGAUUCCCAGAAGAGACCGAGCCAGUGGCCCUGCUCUGAGUCUACGACAGACCAUCACCACAGCUCCACGAUGCGGUGAGAGCACACGGAGGGAGGGACGUGCCGGGAACUACUGGGAGCUAACCUGCUAUCCCUGAGGAAAGAAGGGCCACAUGUCCCGGUUCUGCCCUAGGCUGUCCCAGACCCAAACCACCGUGGCUGACGCGCACGAUGAAAAGAUAGACUGUAGUUUUGGGCGGCCGAGAGGUCCGGGCCAAAGGAGCAAGCCUGUGGUGGAAGUAAGAAUAGGCGACACAAUCAUACCUGCGGUAGUGGACACCGGCUGCUCCCAGUUGAUGAUACAUAAGGAACUGUUCCCCCCACAUCUGGGGAGUCCCAGAAGCCCAGUGUCCAGGAUAUGUAUGCAUGGUGCCACCUAUACAUACGAACGGAAGAAAGUAUGCUGGGGUGCACUGAAGAGAUUCCUGUGGGGUUGGCCGAGACACUACCUUGCCCCAUGCUGUUGGGCAUGGAUUGGCCGCACCUCAAAGAGUUUAUUCGCCAGCUGAUUACAGAGACGCACAAAGAAGAGAGGAGUCUCCAAGCCCUUUGUUUCAGAGAUCUGGAGGAAGACCUGGAUGUGGACCAAAUUAUAGGAAAAGGGGAUCUUCAUCAGGAACAAUGUCAGGAACCCUUAUUCAGGAAUAUAUGGGAAUCCCAACUUGCCAGAAUAGAGGAAGAAACCAGAGAUCCACAGAAAACCACCCAAAACCUGUGGUAUGAGGAAAGAAAAGGCCUUCUUUACCGGGUAGAGGAUCAAGAGGAGGGCGGAGACAGAGCCCAGGUCCUGGUGCCCCGGAAAUAUUGGGAGGGCCAGGCUAAAGCGCAGGGUCUUCUGGCCCGGCAUAUGUAAGAUGGUGGAAAAGUUAUGUGCAGAAUGCCCAGAGUGUCAAAAAACUGGGGGAGUAAGGCCAGCAAGUGUUCCCCUGAUACCAGCGCCCCUGAUUGGGUGGCCAUUUGACAGAAUUACACUGGACAUAGCCACGCCCUUCCCAUGUAGCAGGACGGGGUAUCAAUUCAUUCUCGUGAUCAUUGACUAUGCUACCCGGGUCCCCAAAGUGAUACCAUUGAGGUGAGUAACAGCUCCAGCCAUAGUGGGGGCUCUGCUGAGAUGGACUGCCUGGGUGGGUAUACCCUGUGAAAUCUUGACGGACCAAGGAAAACAUUUUGUGUCAAAGAUUUUAAAGGGGGUCUGCCAGGUGCUGAAAAUUAAACAGCUGCGCACCUCAGUCUAUCAUACCCACACCAACGGCCUAGUGGAGUGGUUUAUCCGCACCCUCAAAGGAAUGAUCAGAGCAUGCAUUCAGGGAGACCCCCGGGAAUGGGAUGCCAUGCUACCCCCACUACUCUUCGCGAUAAGGGAAGCCUCUCAGGCUUCGACCAGGUACACCCCAUUUGAAUUAGUCUACGGCCAUAGCCCUUGAGGACUAUUAGACCUAAUAUGUGAGGAGUGGAUACAAGCCGGGACCGACCUGUCACAACCAUGGGUGGUGGGGAAGUUCAGGGAGAGACUGAAAAGGGCCCAAGAGAUAGCACAAAAAAACCUUAGCCAGUGCCAAGAGAGACAGAAACAACAGUAUGAUGCCCAAUCCAUCAAAAGGGAACUUCAGGUAGGGGACUGGGUAGUGGUAUUGCUCCCAGACGACACUCACAAGAUCAUGGCCUGGUGGCAAGACUCCUUUCGUGUGACUCGAUGCAUAGGGCCUGUGAAUUACAAGGUUUUGCGAACGACACCGACACAGAGAAAGCAAAUAUACCACAUUAACCUGCUGCGAAAGUGGCGUCAAGGAGACGGGUGGCUAAUGAAGGCAGUAGAUGAGAUUGGAGAAGAAAACAGAACAUCCAUCCGGGACCUGAAAGAAGCUCGGGGAGAGCCAAAGAUAGACAACCAACUAGACCCAAGCCAUCAAGCUGAAAUGAGAGCGCUGACUGCCGAAUUUCAUGAUGUAUUCAGAGAAGUACCAGGAGAGGCUACGGGGGUCCCACACCAUAUCAUGACCCCCCCCCCCCCCCCCCCAGGACACACAAUUAGAGAUCACCAGAGGAAGCUACCUCGCCACCUGUGGCUGGCCGUCAGGCAGGAAAUCGAGCAAAUGAAAAUACUGGGGAUUAUUGAAGAAUCUAAAAGCCCCUGGAGAAGCCCCAUAGUGGUGGUACCAAAACAGGACGGGUCAAUUCGUUUGUGCAUUGACUACCAGAAACUAAACAAAAUUGCCAUGUUUGACGCCUUCCCGAUGCCCCAAAUUGUUGACAUGUUAGAAAAGGUGGGACAAGCUUGAUAUAUAACCACCCUGGAUCUCACCAAAAAGUAGUGGCAGAUCCUGAUGGCUGUGGAAGAUAAAGAAAAAACGGCAUUUGGCACCCCAUGGGGCCUUUUCCAAAUUAAAAAAAUGCCAUUUGGGCUACAUGGGGCCGUCGCCUCCUUUCAGCAGUUGAUGGAAUGUAUGCUUGCCCCACAUCAGGACUACGCAGCAGCCUACAUAGAUGAUAUUAUUUUUUCACCUGACUGGGAAGCCCAUCGUCAACACCUUCAGCAGAUAUUGGAAAGUCUCAGGCGGGUGGGGCUCGCCGUCAAUCCCAAAAAAUGCGCACUAGGAAAAAGGGAGAUGCGAUAUCUGGGAUUCUUGGUAGGCCAGGGGGUCAUAAAGCCGAUGACCGACAAAGUGGCUGUCAUAAAACAGUACCCCUUACCGAGAAUGUUGAAGCAACUAUGGUCCUUCCUGGGGUUUGCCAACUACUACCAGCGUUUUAUCCCCAACUUUUCAGAAAAGGCAGCGCCACUUUUGGAGUUGACUAAGGGGUGUUAUAACCCGGUUCCGUGGGAUUCAGGGCCUUCAACCAAUUAAAAGAAGCCUUGUGCCAGCACCUGGUUCUGUAUACACCCGAUUUCUGAAAAACCUUCUUUUUACAAAUGGAUGCCUCAUCGGUAGCCCUGGGGGCGAUACUAUUCCAGAAAGAGCAGGGAGCAGAAAGACCAGUGGCAUUUGCCAGUAGAAAGCUCAACCAAACAGAAGCCCGCUAUUCUAUGAUAGAAUGGGAAUGCCUGGCAAUAUGGUGGGGCAUAGAGCUCUUUUAGUACUAUCUAUUGGGCAGGGAAUUUGUGCUCAUUACCGAUCAUGCUUCUCUACGAUGGUUGCGGACAGCUAGGUUGAAUAAUGCAGCCAUUUUGUUUUUCUGUAGAGCAUCGAGCAGGCAGAAGGAACAAGAAUGUAGAUUCUCUAUCCUGCUCUGGAGAUGAUCUCGACAAAGACAUGCAACCCAAUGAAGAUGACAUGCAGAAAGAUCGGAUCUCAAACCCCGACCAUAUUACCUUCUAACCCAGAGUAAAGGGGUUCCAGAGAAGAGGGGUUUUUUUCUUCUCUCUUCAUGCUCCUCUCCUUUUUGUUGUUCUCUUUUUUCUUUUUUUUCUCCAGGAAAGGGAGGGGCAGACUAAGAGACCAGUGGGGGAGGUGUGUAACAGGGUUCCUGACCGAAGCCCUGUUACUUGGAGAAAAUCCCCACAGCUGGUGGUCAUGACUUCAUGUCUUCAUCAGUGACUUGGAUGAGGGAGUGAAAUGUACUCUGUCCAAGUUUGCAGAUGACACAAAGCUAUGGGGAGAAGUGGACACGCUGGAGGGCAGGGAACAGCUGCAAGCAGACCUGGACAAGUUGGACAAGUGGGCAGAAAACAACAGAAUGCAGUUCAACAAGGAGAAAUGCAAAGUGCUGCACCUAGGGAGGAAAAAUGUCCAGCACACCUACAGCCUAGGGAAUGACCUGCUGGGUGGCACAGAAGUGGAAAGGGAUCUUGGAGUCCUAGUGGACUCCAAGAUGAACAUGAGUCGGCAGUGUGACGAAGCCAUCAGAAAAGCCAAUGGCACUUUAUCGUGCAUCAGCAGAUGCAUGACGAAUAGGUCCAAGGAGGUGAUACUUCCCCUCUAUCGGGAGCUGGUCAGACCGCAGUUGGAGUACUGCGUGCAAUUCUGGGCACCGCACUUCAAGAGGGAUGCAGAUAACCUGGAGAAGGGCCACUCGUAUGGUUAAGGGCUUGCAGACCAAGCCUUACGAGGAGAGACUAGAGAACCUGGACCUUUUCAGCCUCCACAAGAGAAGGUUGAGAGGCGACCUUGUGGCUGCCUAUAAGUUCAUCACGGGGGCACAGAAGGGAAUUGGUGAGGUUUUAUUCACCAAGGUGCCCCCGGGGGUUACAAGAAAUAAUGGCCACAAGCUAGCAGAGAGCAGAUUUAGACUGGACAUUAGGAACAACUUCUUCACAGUUCGAGUGGCCAGGGUCUGGAACAGGCUCCCAAGGGAGGUGGUGCUCUCCCCUACCCUGGGGGUCUUCAAGAGGAGGUUAGAUAAGCAUCUAGCUGGUGUCAUCUAGACCCAGCACUCUUUCCUGCCUAUGCAGGGGGUCGGACUCGAUGAUCUAUUGAGGUCCCUUCCGACCCUAACAUCUAUGAAUCUAUGAGGCCCAGGCAUGGGCAGGGAGGGAGGAGAUUCUCCACGCCACCAGCGAGCCAAUAGGACCCCGCUUCCGGGAAUAUAGGGAGGACGAGGCCCCAAGAAAAAUGCCUUCUGGCACUGUGAGAGUGAAGAGGAGGGUUGUCUGUGACCCCAGAGAAAAGAUGAGAAGAGCCAGGUAGCCGCCAGAUGCCUGGUACCGGCACACAAAACUCCAGCCACUACGGUGAGUCUCAAAGAGCAGUAGCCGCGGAUCCAGGCAGUGACGCGGUGCAGCAUCCUGGAGCAGAGAAGAGCUCCCUGGUUAGGACCCGAGGGGGGAAGUGGACGGCAGCCUAGAAGGGAAAGGGGAAGAUAGUCCCAAAGUUUGGCACCAGCAGCUCGGGAGCUCCCAGAGCCGAGCCAGCACAAACCGCGGAGAGGCAGUAAAAGACAUGGCCAGCCUCCACUGCUAAGGAGGCAAUUAGUGGACAUUAAGCUGAGUCACCACCUGGAGUGACUCAUACCCAGGGGGGACUGGGUCAGGACUCCCACUGGUCAAGACCCACAGAGGGGGAACAGCCAGAAACGCCCUUCCCAGUAAUAGGCAGGGGAUAACAGUCCUUGUUUACACGGGCUGCUAAUGAGGUAAUUAGCACUGCGAGUUGCCCAGCCAGCCCUAACCUCUAGGACAGUGAAGUUGAUCUUUCCUCAAGCAUGAGGGUGACUCUGGGGAGCAGGAGGGGGAUGAGCUGCUGCCUGUGGUCCAGGCUGCUGUAAAAGAAAAACGAAAGAAUAAAAAGCACCUGGAAUCAUGUGAUGGGCCAAGUGUUAUUACUCCAUGGGUACCUACUAAUAUUUAAUCUUUUUCCUCCCUUUAAUAAGAUCAGAGUUGUGGCAGGUGAGAACUAGAGGAACAGGCAGUACCCCACAGACCUGGUGACAGUGCCCAAAAGCUUGCAAAGAACAUUUUUGCAAGUGUUUAGUUGGUUUAAUAAAAGAUAUCACAUCUACCCGAAGAACCUUGUCAGCCUACGUCCUUAGGCCAACACAGUUACAACCAACAACCGUAAUGCCACUAAAAAACAUUUUAAUCAUUUCUUUAUGCAAUUACUUCUUUUAAGUAACAAAUUCUCCUUAGUGCACUUAGUAGACAAUAAUGAUCAACAAAGAUGGAAAAAAAUUUCCCAGUAAGAGUAUUUAAUUUUUUCCUCUUAUUCCUCAAUAAAAGUCCCAGAUUGCUAAUUGCAGGUUCAUAAUGUUAUGGGUAGGCUAAACAUCUAGAUGACAAACUGGAGCUGGACUCCAAAAUUCAUAUUUGACUAUGCUUAGAAAGUUAUCCACAGUAUCUUAAACUCUAAAAACUCUACACCCUAAAUUUAUUUUAACUAGUAUGGCAGACAUACUUCAAAACAGAGACACAGUAACUUCACUGAAUAAAUCAGGUUCUUUUUCUAAAUUAAUCUGAAAAUAUAAUAUAUGUACAUUGACUAUUUGUCCCUGCAUUGAAUAAUCCAGGUUGGGGAGUGCCUGUGAUAUGAGCAGUGUUUCCUGGUGGUAUCCCUCAGAGAGCAGGCAAAAGAGUUACAGAAGGAGGUGGUGAGGCUCCAUAGCAUCCUCCACCAUGAACAGUUCAUGGAUUCAGUGAGGAGGAGAGCUCCAGGACUGCAAAGGAAGGACUACUAGAGGUGGUGCUAGAAAAGGAAGAGAACAUGAACCUCCAAGGAAAGUGGAAGCUGGAAGCUUGUGACCUCUGGCUGUAGGGAGAGGUCUUCAUGCCCACCUGCAGUGGUUUGCCUGGAGAACAGAUAUAGAGCCGUAGCAUCAGAGGAGAAGGAGCACUGUCUGUCAAGAGAAGAGGACAGGCCAAGCCUUCCCAAGGUUGUGAGGAUCAAGACCAUUGCUACUAAGAGGAAGUGAUGGAUGGUGCUGGGUGGUGACUCUUUUCUGGGGUGGGGGAGGCAGAAGCAUCCAUUUGCCAGCCUUGACCUGUUGUAUCAGGAGGUUUGCUGCUGGCCCAGAGCCCAGAUUCAAGGUGUCAUGGAAGGUUUAUUAAGACUUAUCCAGCCCUCUGAAUACUACCCCAUGCUAUUCAUCCAUGUGGGCAUCAAUGAUAUCACCAGUGGCGACCCUGACCAGCCCAAAAAGUGACUACAGGGCUCUGAGUGCAAGAAUAAAGAGGACAAGGGCUCAGGUGGCAUUCUCUUCAAUUCUCCAAUCAAGGGGAAUGGCCUGGGCAGGAGUAGACACAUCCUGCAGAUCACGCGUGGCUGUGCAGAUGGUGUCACCAUCAGGGCUUUGGCUUCUUUUACUAUGGGAUGUUGUUCCAAGAAGGUCUGCUAGAAAGAGAUGGGAUCCACCUGACAAAGAAAGGGAAGAGCAUCUUCACAGACAAACUCGCUAACUUAGUGAGGCACUGUACCUAGACUCCUGGCAGCCUGGGGCAAACUUUUAGUAUCAGGUCCCCUGUCACCAGAGAUAAUGAUGAUAACAAUUUUAAAAUACUAUUUUUGGGCUCCCUUUCUGUCCAGGUCCCGGUCAGUCUCCUGGUUCACCCAUGCCUGUGUCCGGUCCUGUGAGGAGGGCAUUAAGUUAGGUUCACUUGGGGAUGAAGACCAAAGCCCUGAGGUAACUGGAAACUGGGUGACCUAGAGGAAGCCCAAGCAGGAGGGGACAACAGGAGGGUUCUUCUCAUUCUUCCUGCGAAAGUAAGGCAAUUGGGUAGUUACCUCAGAUAUCUGUACACGAAUGCACGGAGCCUGGGAAGCAAACAGAAAAAAAUGUAAGUCCUCACACAGUCCUGGAGCUAUGAUGUGAUUGGAAAAACAGAGACUUGGUGGGAGUUCACAUGACUGGAGCAUUGUCAUGGAUGGGCAUAAACUGUUCAUGAAGGACAGGUAGGGGAGAAGAGGAGGAGCUACUCUUUAUGUAAAAGAGCUAUGAUUGCUCAGAGCUCCAGUAUGAAACUGGGGAUAGGCUUGUUGAAAGUCUCUGGGGUAGGGUCAGAGGGGAAAGCAACAAGGGUGAUGUCAUGGUGGGGGUCUGCUAUAGACCACUAGACCAGAAUGAUGAGGUGGAAGUGGCUUUCUUCAAACAGCUAGUGAAAGUUUCUAGAUCACAAGCCCUGGUUCUCAUGGGGGACUUCAGUCACCCUGACAUCUGCUGGGAGAGCAACACAGCAGAGCACAGGCAAUCUAGGAAGUUUUUGGAGAAUGUUGGGGACAACUUCCUGAUGCAAGUGUUGGAGAGGCCAGUUAGGUGCUGUGCUCUUCCUGACCUGCUGCUCACAAACAGGGAAGAAUUGGUGGGGAAUGUAGUAGUGGAUGGUAUCGUGGGCAGCAGCAACCACACGAUGUUUUUGUUCAGGAUCUUGAGGAAAGAAAGGAAGGAAAAAGAGCAGCAGGGUAAGGACCCUGGACUUUACCAAAACAGACUUUGACUCACACAGGGAACUGGUGGGCAGGAUUCCCUGGGAGGCCAGUCUGAGGGGGAAAGGAGUCCAGAAGAGCUGAUGAUUCUUUAAAGCAGAGGUGGGCAAAAAAGGGCCCACUGAGCUUUAGUUCAAGUACUGUGAUGGCCAGAACCAGAGGGAUUAAUAAGCAAUAAAUAUGUGCUUCUUGGAGGCAUUUGGUAUUUUGCCUAAUAGGCAAUAUUAACUAAUGUAAAGCUUGUAAGUUCAUAACCCGCAAAUGUAACUUGUCUGUCAUAAAUUUAACCAAAAUGAUAAAACUAACUGUUUGUGGAACUAACUGUGCCCCAAAGGUGAAGCUGUAGCUGCAAGAUUAGCUGACCUAACGGUUUUUGCUCAGGGUUCAGCCUUGACGAUAAAACUGGAUCCAACCACCUGGCGCACCCAACACAUUCCAGGAAAGCACGUCUCAAGAAAGCAUAUUCAGAAAAAACUAAAAGGGCUGGGUUUAGAAAUGUUAAUUCCAAACCUAAAAAUGCUACGUUGUAAUUUGCUUAUUGGAUAAACCUGAGUCUGGGUAGUAACCUUUUCUGAUAAUUUUUAACACCUUUCAAUCCCAUAGGGUAACAGCUACAGGGCAAAAUUGUGAGUGGCUCUAAAGCCAACAGAUUAGCAUAAGACUAGGUAUAAAAAGCACGUGCAUCAGAUGACCAGCAGGAAGGAGGGAACAGAACAAUCAUUGCUAUUCCAAGCCCGGACACCAGACUCCUGGUGUGAGUGAGGAUCAGAUCAUGAUCAAGGGAUCUUCCCCGGUAAUCCCUCCAACAGCGUCGAUCGGGGAUGCCUGACUUCGCUGGAAUCACUUGGCGCACACCUGGCAUCAAGGGACUAUCGAUAAGUUGCCAACCCAUGUCUGUCUAUCUGUUGUUUUGAACAGCCCAGUGGCUGAUACCCUCGCAGUGCCCAGUUGGCCUGCGACAGAUUGAUCCAUCUAUCUGUUGCUAUUAUCUGUUAUUAUUUAUUAUUAGCUCUUUAAUACUGCAUUAUCUGCUUGUUGCAUUUAUCUUUCUGUUAACUGUUGUGUGUGUAAGCUAUAAUAAAUUUGCCUUUGCUUCACUCCCAA